This 219-nucleotide ribosomal RNA is filed under the name uncultured Staphylococcus sp. Its description in RNAcentral is "partial 16S ribosomal RNA". It matches the Rfam family "Bacterial small subunit ribosomal RNA", at positions 122 to 334 of the family's 1533-position model. Lineage: Bacteria; Bacillati; Bacillota; Bacilli; Caryophanales; Staphylococcaceae. The record is from RNAcentral.
UAACGAUACCUAUAAGACUGGGAUAACUCCGGGAAACCGGGGCUAAUACCGGAUAACACAUGAAACCGCAUGGUUUCAUGAUGAAAGACGGUUUUGCUGUCACUUAUAGAUGGACCCGCGGCGUAUUAGCUAGUUGGUAAGGUAACGGCUUACCAAGGCAACGAUACGUAGCCGACCUGAGAGGGUGAUCGGCCACACUGGAACUGAGACACGGUCCAG